CGCGGUAAUACGUAGGUGGCAAGCGUUGUCCGGGAUUUACUGGGCGUAAAGGAUGUGUAGGCGGAUACUUAAGUGAGAUGUGAAAGCCCCGGGCUUAACCUGGGGACUGCAUUUCAAACUGGGUAUCUAGAGUGCAGGAGAGGAAAGCGGAAUUCCUAGUGUAGCGGUGAAAUGCGUAGAGAUUAGGAAGAACAUCAGUGGCGAAGGCGGCUUUCUGGACUGUAACUGACGCUGAGGCAUGAAAGCGUGGGGAGCAAACAGGAUUAGAUACCCUGGUAGUCCACGCCGUAAACGAUGAGUACUAGGUGUAGGAGGUAUCGACUCCUUCUGUGCCGCAGUUAACACAAUAAGUACUCCGCCUGGGAAGUACGGUCGCAAGAUUAAAACUCAAAGGAAUUGACGGGGGCCCGCACAAGCAGCGGAGCAUGUGGUUUAAUUCGAAGCAACGCGAAGAACCUUACCUAGACUUGACAUCUCCUGAAUAGCGUAGAGAUACGUGAAGCCCUUCGGGGCAGGAAGACAGGUGGUGCAUGGUUGUCGUCAGCUCGUGUCGUGAGAUGUUGGGUUAAGUCCCGCAACGAGCGCAACCCUUAUCAUUAGUUGCUACCAUUAAGUUGAGCACUCUAGUGAGACUGCCCGGGUUAACCGGGAGGAAGGCGGGGAUGACGUCAAAUCAUCAUGCCCCUUAUGUCUAGGGCUACACACGUGCUACAAUGGUGAGAACAACGAGAUGCAAUACCGCGAGGUGGAGCCAAACUUGAAAACUCAUCCCAGUUCGGAUUGCAGGCUGAAAUUCGCCUGCAUGAAGUUGGAGUUGCUAGUAAUCGCGAAUCAGAAUGUCGCGGUGAAUACGUUCCCGGGCCUUGUACACACCGCCCGUCACACCAUGAGAGCUGGUAACACCCGAAGU
RNAcentral lists this ribosomal RNA (910 nucleotides) under uncultured bacterium. RNAcentral describes it as "bacterial SSU rRNA". It matches the Rfam family "Bacterial small subunit ribosomal RNA", at positions 516 to 1427 of the family's 1533-position model. The record is from RNAcentral.